This 518-nucleotide long non-coding RNA is filed under the name Homo sapiens (human). Its description in RNAcentral is "long non-coding RNA NONHSAT205091.1". Lineage: Eukaryota; Metazoa; Chordata; Mammalia; Primates; Hominidae. The record is from RNAcentral.
GGAGCGGUAGCGGCGGCGGCGGCGGCGGCGGCGGCGGCGGCGGCGGCGGCGUGUGGAGCGAGGGAGCGGCGCGAGCGGCGGCAUGACGCGGAGGCGGAGCAGGCCGAGCGGCGGUGCGGGCAGGCGCGAGCGGGCUCGGGCCGCGGGGCCGCAGAAGCCCCAGGCGCCCGAGCCCCCGCCGCCGCCAAGCCUGGAGGCGGGAGCGGGUGCAGGCCCUCCGGAGGCGCCGGCGGAGCCCGACCACGACGGCCCCAGGGAGGAUGACGAACCCAACCUGGUGCCCGGCCCGCAGGAAGGCAGGCUCCUGCAGGAGUCUUGGAGGGUCGGAUGCGGCGCCGGAUGAGGAUGAGGCGUGGCGGAAGAUGCGUUUGGCUCUGCAGACACUGCAUCGGGCAGCAGGGGACUCUGGGAGGCUGGUGCAGCCAGAAGGCAUGGCUCUUGACAGCCUUCUAGUAGAAUCUCUGGAAUUGUGCAUGUCCCCCCCGCCUCCAGCCAGCCUGUGCAGACUUGCUGCCUGC